Tachysurus fulvidraco (yellow catfish) is the source of this 579-nucleotide long non-coding RNA. RefSeq lists it as uncharacterized. The record is from RefSeq and is a predicted model, not a curated record. The transcript is spliced from 3 exons. Lineage: Eukaryota; Metazoa; Chordata; Actinopteri; Siluriformes; Bagridae.
GGAAAUGAUGUCAUGGAGAAAACAGAAGCUGCAGCACAAACCACAUGCAAAUGUUAAAAUGCAGACAGGACAGUUAAUAAAACUCUCUGUCCUGUUUUAUUUCUUCAUCACUUCUGUGGAAUGUAUCAGGACAAGGGACAGUGUUGUUUAUGAUGAUAUUAAUGCUUAAUAAUUAAUCCAGUCUGCAGCGGCCAUAACGCCAUGACGCAGGAGCACUUCAUCUCAUUUACCUGAGGAAGGUUAAACCUUUCUUCCUUUUUUCUGUAAAUGAUGCACAUAUCAGCUCAUCAGCUCCUGUUGACCUUGAACACGUGAUCAUGUGGAUGUUAAAGGGGUUCAAGUUGAACAUUAAGCCUCCAUUCAGCAGCGAGCAGCUCAUCAGGGCAUCACCUCAGCACUGCUGUCACCAUGGUAACCGUGUCAGCCCUGCUUCUCCUGCUCUCUGCUUUUACUCCUCCAGUCCAGAGUCAACUCACUUCACUCCAUAUCAUUCCGGAUGACAUGAAUCAGACUGAGGCUCGGAAAGCUUGCAGAGAAAAUUACACCGACCUCGUCACUGUGUACUCUGAUGAAGACAAC